Long non-coding RNA from Tripterygium wilfordii, 4037 nucleotides. RefSeq lists it as uncharacterized. Lineage: Eukaryota; Viridiplantae; Streptophyta; Magnoliopsida; Celastrales; Celastraceae. The transcript has 5 exons. The record is from RefSeq and is a predicted model, not a curated record.
GGACUCCAUUUUGACGUAGAUUCAUGGGGCAUUGGGCUUUUUUAAUAAUAAAAUGGGCCUAUUCGGUUUAUGGCCCAAUUAACCAGUUUUUAGAUUGGGCUUUUUAAAAACCAGAAGGUCAUAUUCGGUUCGAUGGCCGCAUAAACUAGUUUUUGCAUGUGCUCCCACUCCCAGGGAUACUGUUGUUCUCUACUUCUUUAGUUGAGCGGUGUACUCAAUGUGCUUGUUGUUCUUUGACCUUUUUUCCUUGAGAGUCUUCAUGUUUGUCAAGGUUGGCGUUCUUUAGAGCUGCGGAUUUUUUUUUUCCCCUUUUGUGUGGAUAUUUCAAAUACAUUUUUCUUGGAGUAUUGCAGUUAGGCUCGGAAUUUACCAAUCUCCAAUAGGUCUCUUGGAGAUGUGUUGGACAGAUUGGUUAUGUGGUACGUAGUUUGGGUCAGUGUGAGUGGUGUCUUUCAAAUAGACUGCAGUUAAGAAUUGAGAGCCUUGAAAAUAUUUCAGAACGAACAAAUUUGUGAAUAAUGAUUGGCCUCGCAUCUUUUAAUUUCUCAUUCAGUUAAUCCAUUUAUUUUGCAUUUAUACUUUUAUCGACCAGCUGGAGUAGUUUAAAGAAAAUUAGGCAAUUUUCUACGGUCAGUCGAUCUACUGGACUAUUUCGUCAUUGUGUGACAUGCGGUAGUCGGUUUCAAAAGUUUAUCAUCUCCACGUGGCAAACUAAAGGAUGGGCUGGAGACCAAGCACCGCUAUGCUAUGGGCGGGAGACCGAAAGCAGAAUCUGGAAUUGUCAGUUAACUAAUCUUUCAUUUUUGCCCUAGCGAGACAAAUCCUUCUCCCUAUCGCGUUCUCCCUCUCUCGAAAGGGCUGCGAAGCUUCAAUGGCGUGUCUUCUCAAUGGAGUGAUCCGCGAGGAUUGAUCUCUAGGCAGUCGUUCGAUACCCCUCUUUAUAGAGUUCAUUCCCUGUUCUCUCUUACUUGAUCUACGAGGAAACUAAUCUUUCGUUUUUGCCCUAGCGAGACACAUCCUUCUCUCUCUUUCGCAUUCUCCCUCUCCCGAAAGGCGAAGCAUCAAUGACGUCUAGGUACCUGGUAGUGUCUCUUCUGUUCAAGUCUCAAUGGAGCCGUCUACGGGAACUGAUCUCUAGGCAGUCGUUCGAUACUCCUCUUUAUAGAUUAAAUAUUCAAAAUCUCCGUGUCCGUACCUGCAUCCUCUCCUUACACUCGACGAUGAUCUCUCAAAAGUGGUAGUUUCGCACAAGAUCAGGUGAAAGAUCGAGGAGUUGGACAAGGUUUCGGACGUGGAGAGCAGUGCCGUCACUGUUGAUGGUGUGCCUAUUUUCUCAUAUCUCUCUAUGUAAUUGCUAACAAGGUAUGUAUUUCACGGAAUAUUGCUGGUAUAAUCUGAGUUUGACAUUUGUUUUUGGUGUUAUUUACUGAAUUUUGUGCUGUGAUGCUAGAUUGGUAUAGAACAAAGCAAAGUAUCCAACACUGCAUCUGUUAAAGGAGAUGGUGGAUAUCAUUCAUGGUCUAGUUGCAAAGAUUGAGGAUAACCUCAUGGUGAUGAUUGUUUCACUUUUUUUUGUCCUUUUAAAAUUAACUCCUAUUCUCCUAGGGAAGAGAUAAAACUGUUGCUUAAGUUAAAUAGAGGUUUGCUUGGAUGUGUUGGAUAUUGUAUGACAUUGAACUAGUGAUGUGUGACUGAAAAUUUCCCAUGUGUACAAUGUGAUAUGAGAAUGUAUACAGUUUGGCAUGUGUGAACUACAUAAUGAGUCCAUGACAUGUGGGGUUUGGCAAACUGCUAAUGGAUUUUUUUGUUGUUCUUAAUUAUUAUUUUUUGAAUAAAUGUUCUUAGACAUAUUAAUUUCCUUAACUUCUUCAAUUAUCACUUGUUACUUGACAAUCGUGUGCUCCGAUUUUGUGUUGAUAUUCAUCAGUUUGUUGCUGUGAUUGACUGAACCUUUCUGUUUCCUAUUACCAUUUGCCUUAGGACUCUCAGAUUUCUAGUCUGGAGAUUAUUAACAUAAAUGAUAUAUAUCUAUGCAUCUUUCAUUGGUAAUUUGUGCCAUGUUUGAUUUCCAAGUAUCUGAAUAGUACAAUGUCCACAGUCAGCUAAAUGCUAGAAACAGAAAGCGUAUUGGAAAGUAAAAAUUUUGAAUUAUGUUUUAAAGCUUAUACAACAAUUUUAUAUUUUAUUCAAAUACCGUAGUGUGACUUAUAUAAUUGUUGACUGCAGCUUCACCGUCGGUGAUUUUUCCAAUUUGGUGAAAUGGAAGAUAUAAUUAUAUCAGUAAAUAAAUACAGUGUUGAUGUUGAUUACUAUCCUGCUUCAUGAUUAAUCCUAUCUUAUAUGUUAAUGUUUGUACGAAUGAGUGCUAUGUUGAUAAUUCUUAAUCUUAAUUCUUUUUGAUUGAUGGAGUGCUCUUUCAAGUUCACAAUUCCUUUAAGAAUUCAUAUAAGGAUAAUGAAUAUGCACUUUCUACUGUAACACUAUGUUGUCUGAGUUGUGAACAAUUUUCAGAACAAGUGCGCAUGAAAGGGUUUUCAUUUGAGUAAAUCAAAUGGCAUGCUUGUGCUUUUCAUUUACAUAUAACUAUAUAAGUCAUCAUCAAAACCUUUCACCCAAAUAGUUUGUGGCUGUUUUCCAAAUCGUUUGGGGUUCUUUGAUAUGUGAGUUUUCCUGGACAUGAAAUAUUGAUGUUUAAAACAAUUUUUAAACUUUUAAAUUUUACCUCGUUUUUCAUUCAGUAUUAAAACUCGGAUGUACCUCCUAUGGUAAUUGUUCUGUUCUAUCAGAUAUUAACAUGUCGAUCAGAUUGGGUAUUUCGAAUAUAUUCUGAAAGCACAAGAAAAGAGGAAGGAAGAGUUGCAAAAGUUGAUGCAUGAUGAAGAAAGUUUGGAAAGCUUGCAUCUGCAAUGGUGCUAUGCCAGUUAUGGGGAGAUAAUGUCCUUUUGUGUUUCUUAUAUAUUUUUUCCAAAUAGUUCCAUGAUUGUUUUUCCUUGCUAUGUUAGUUUCACUCGUUGCUUACAAAUGGAUGAUAUUAUUGCUCUUUCUAACAGAGACAAUCAUCUUUUGAGACAUUUUAGAGCUGAUUUACAAGAAUAUUAUCCCCAGACCAAAGGACCAUUGCACCAAACCCUUUCAACUUGGUGUCGCUUUUGCUGCAAUGCCAAAGGAGCAACCUUCGGUGAUUUAAGUGCUCUUUGAUUUCUGAGUGUGUACUGGAAAUCUGCAAGUCCAUUUUUAUUCUAGAUAUCUGAUUGCUUUCCUCGAUUUUUAAGUACUCUUUGAGUUCUGAGUGUGCACUGGAAAUCCAUGAGUCCAUUUCUAUUCUAGAUAUCUGAUUGCUUUCCGUUUGUUUAAUCUGCGAAGAAGCUAGGUUUUUGUGGGACUGUAUAUUCUUUUCCACAUUUUUGUGGAUUUCUAUUGUGCGUGAUUUCAGCCUAGUCACUGGUGGUGUUUACUCCUGCUGCCCCUUUUGCUGCCAGUAAUCUGGCAAAGGUUUAACACUCUAAAUGAUCAAGGGAAUUUAGUUUUGUUCCUUUAUGUGGGCCUUUAAACUUUCAUAGGAUAAUGUUGAAGUUGCUUCAAUGACCUAUCAAGGUAAUGAGGCUCAUCUGUCCUGCAAUUGGAGCUUAUUUUGGGUCAUAUUGGGUGAUUUUAGUGUGCAAAAUGGUUUGCUUUGGAUUCUUCCUGUGAUGGAAACUUUACUAGUGAGAUCAUGUACCUUAAUUUCAUUUCUGAUCCUCGGAUCAUGAUAUUGCCUCCAAGGAAUAGUGCCCACAGGAAAAAUAAUGCCGUGAGGCCAGAAUCCAUUUUGUUCUUUCUUAUGCGGUGAUGGUAAAGGUGUUUUGUUUUGGCAUGAAUAUUUUGUCCUGCUUACAUUAUCCUUUCAUCAGUUAUCAUUUCCUGUAUGUUCAUUAUCCAUUCUUUCUUUCCAACUUUCAAGUGGCUUUUUCUGGUUGCAUUGUUCAUUAUCCCUUCUUUAUUUUCAUUAUAUUUCAUACAUAAGUAAUAAUCAAAUCCACAACUGCAAUUUCUUUUGA